This 302-nucleotide ribosomal RNA is filed under the name uncultured soil bacterium. Its description in RNAcentral is "bacterial SSU rRNA". It matches the Rfam family "Bacterial small subunit ribosomal RNA", at positions 26 to 321 of the family's 1533-position model. The record is from RNAcentral.
AGAGUGAACGCUGGCGGUAGGCCUAACACAUGCAAGUCGAACGGCAGCACAGGAGAGCUUGCUCUCUGGGUGGCGAGUGGCGGACGGGUGAGGAAUACAUCGGAAUCUACCUUUUCGUGGGGGAUAACGUAGGGAAACUUACGCUAAUACCGCAUAAGACCUUCGGGUGAAAGCCCGGGGACCUUCGGGCCUGGCGCGGAUAGAUGAGCCGAUGUCCGAUUAGCUAGUUGGCGGGGUAAUCGGCCCACCAAGGCGACGAGUCGGUAGCUGGUCUGAGAGGAUGAUCAGCCACACUGGAACUG